Photinus pyralis (common eastern firefly) is the source of this 1430-nucleotide long non-coding RNA. RefSeq lists it as uncharacterized. The transcript is spliced from 6 exons. The record is from RefSeq and is a predicted model, not a curated record. NCBI's taxonomy places the organism in Eukaryota, Metazoa, Arthropoda, Insecta, Coleoptera, Lampyridae.
AUUUUAAUGACUUCAUGUGUGUACAUCAUGUCCUGAUAUUUUAUAUGUUUGGGGUCAGGUAAAUUGAAUUGUAAUUUCGAGAUUUUAAUUAUGACGUUAUGUAUUUAAUUUUAGAUCAAAUUGAUGUGUUACCCAAAAUUUUAAUGUGUCUUGUUCAAUAUUUGUUGAUGUAUUUGUUCACCAAGAAAUGGAGGGGGUCCACCAUUUUGUUAACGACGUGUUUAGUGCACACAAUUUGGUCCCACUGAGGAAGGACAGCAAACUGCGUUCGAAAUAUUUGGAUUCCUAAAUAAAAAACUAAACGAAGUCUGACUUUUGAGCCUACUCACCCUACAAACCUUCACUUCAACACCACUCAAGGCCGAAAGGGAAAAAACUGCUGUAGAACCUUCAUCUACAUGGCCCAGCUAUAAAGUUAAAAUACUUUCACGUUGUGGCAUUGCAGAUAAUUUUACGCAAGCGGAUAGACGUGCUGCACGUGGUACAAGUGGUGAUAAUGUCUCAUCACAUGGUGAAGAAAUUGGAAAUACCUCGGGAAAUACUCAAGUUCGUAAACCUCCACUACCUUAUGCCUCUGAAGCUGAAACUAAUUUCGAGAGCUACCAAAGUCCCACAUAGCACAAAACAUCUAAGCGGUAUUCAACCAUUUCCCAAAAUCAAAACAACUGCACGAAACUUUAGUCAGCAUUCACCAUCUGUUUCUACUUCAUCCUGCUCUACACCGUCUCGUUCCAUGCUGUCGUCUCGGUCCGUACUAUUAAGAAGUACCACAACACCUGGAAUAGAAACAUCCCAUACUGAAAUGUCACGCACACGUGUAAAUGUUUGUGAUGAGACUUUAACCCAACAGAAAGUGUGUUCAUUGACGGAUGAUAAAUUUAAAGCGAAAGUAUUGUCUGAGUUGGCAUCUAUUAAGUUGAAACUAUCAAAAGUGCAACAGUUUAUUGAAAGGCAGAAACAUAUGCCAAAGGAUAACAAGGAAACUAUAGAAACAGACUUUGAUGCGAAAGAUUUUCCUUUAUCAAGUCAUAAUGAUAUCUUAAAAAUGGAGGAAAAAGUAGAAAAGCAGGAGCAUAAGAAUGAUCUAAUUGAUUACCUGGGCAGGAUUGGCGGUUAUAGAUUAGAUGAAGUAACUAAACUUAUUUUACGACGUCUAUUUACUGACGAACUUGCAUCGACAUAUAGUUGGUUAGGUGCCAAAAAAAAAAGAAGGCCAUGUCAAACUUAAACCUAGCGACUGUUAUUUUAAGUCUGUAAACUUAAAGUAUAACUUUUAGAUCAUUUAUCUUUUAGGUUCUGUUCGAAAAAACAAUGUUGCCAUAAAUGCUACUGAUAAAGACAUCAUUGAAUGUAUAAAGAAUUGGCUGCGCCAUGCGGGUACUAGGAACAACAAUAAUAAGCAGAAGAAACAAGUGGAAUAGUUGCUGGAG